CACCGCGGUUAUACGAGAGGCCCAAGUUGAUAGACAGCGGCGUAAAGAGUGGUUAAGGUAAACAAAAAACUAAAGCCGAACGCCCUCUAAGCUGUUAUACGCUCUUCGAAGGCAUGAAGUCCCACUACGAAAGUGGCUUUACACCACCUGAAUCCACGAAAGCUGAGAAA
RNAcentral lists this ribosomal RNA (170 nucleotides) under Lactarius lactarius (false trevally). RNAcentral's name for it is "partial small subunit ribosomal RNA". Lineage: Eukaryota; Metazoa; Chordata; Actinopteri; Lactariidae. The record is from RNAcentral.